AAAGGAGAUCAGAUGAUCGCGCCUUGCCGCCUGGCAAGGGGAGGAAAGUCCGGGCUCCGUAGAGCAGGGUGCUGGAUAACGUCCAGUGGGGGUGACCCUAAGGAAAGUGCCACAGAGAAUAGACCGCCAGAUGCCGGUGUGGAACGGCAGGCCGCUGCACGGGGUAUGCUGGUAAGGGUGAAACGGUGCGGUAAGAGCGCACCAGUCCCGGUGGUGACACCGGGAGCUCGGUAAACCCCACCCGGAGCAAGACCAAAUAGGGAGGCGAUGCUACGAUUUCUCUCACGUGGGAGACCAUGGGUGGGGAAAAGUGGGAUAAGGGUUGCUCGCCCGAUGCCUCCGGGUUAGGUCGCUUGAGGCAUACGGUAACGUAGGUCCUAGAGGAAUGAUCAUCGCCGCUUGCCCAGGCAAGCGGAACAGAACCCGGCUUAUCGAUCUGCUUUGUCC
Molecule: RNase P RNA, 447 nt
Filed under: Candidatus Entotheonella gemina
Lineage: Bacteria; Pseudomonadati; Candidatus Tectimicrobiota; Candidatus Entotheonellia; Candidatus Entotheonellales; Candidatus Entotheonellaceae
Description: Candidatus Entotheonella sp. TSY2 Bacterial RNase P class A
Rfam family: Bacterial RNase P class A
About the family: Ribonuclease P (RNase P) is a ubiquitous endoribonuclease, found in archaea, bacteria and eukarya as well as chloroplasts and mitochondria. Its best characterised activity is the generation of mature 5'-ends of tRNAs by cleaving the 5'-leader elements of precursor-tRNAs.
Source: Rfam by way of RNAcentral